GGAUCUCGAAGAAACAACUUCACUAGAUGAAAGUCAAGAAAACUUAGAUCGGGGUUCCUUGACAUCCUUUGGGUCGGGCAACACUACUGACUCCGACAAGGUAAGAUUUACUGACAAUAUUGCACGUUGAAUUAUAUAUUCUAUUUAUUUGAUUUGUGGCAAGAAUCAAUAAUUUUGGUUUUGUUCAUUCUUCAAUGAUUCUUACAAAUACCUGUGUUAUACUGAUGUAUGGGAUUCCUCUCAAAGUCCUUCCAUAGUAGAAUAGAGACCCCCUUAUAGUUUCCCUAAAACAAGCGUUCAUAUUAAUCGUUAUUAUUAAUAAUUAAUAAAUUUAAAGUAAAGAAAUAGAAUUAACAGAAGGCAAAUAUGGUAGCUAAACUAAUACAAUUUUUAAAUAUACAGAAAGUGAAAGUUCACAUACAGUUUUACUUUAUUUUAUUUAACAUUAUUUAUUCAUUAUUUUUAAAAAUUAAAGUGCAUUAAAGUGACCAGCAAAUCUCUAAUUAUUUUUUAUUGAUGAGCAAUGGUGAAGUGGAUUCAGUUUGGCAGUUUAGCAACAUUAGAGAGAUUAGGUGUAGCCAUUUGUGAUGUUGUUAAUCUGUUUCAUUUGAAAAUGGCAAUCCAUAAUACUGCUAUUAAUGGAUUUCUUUGUUUCAAAAACAAGUAUCUUUUUUUUAAACAUAAUUUUAAAGGAUUUUUCAAAAUUUCAAGUAUACAGCAUUGAUAUGUUUGACAACAUUAAUGCAUUUUGUUUGUCUUUUUGGCAACAAUGGUUUAAAAUUGGAAGGAUUGUUUAAUUAACCACCUCUCUUAAAGAAUGAGCCGCCAAAAAAGAGCCUUGUCCAAACUUUAUUUAAAUUUUUAGAAACUGUUUGAAUUGCUGCUCAAUGUUGCAACCAGACAGCAGAGUUGUGGGAUCUGGCAAUGUCUUGAAAGAUGAGGAAUGACACAUAUUUUAAAAAUAGUCAAAACAUUUUGCAUGAGUGAUGAAUGUCCCUGUCCCUGUGCAAGCAGUGUCUCAUCUCACUCAGUGUGUCUUUGAAGAUUGGGAGCUUAAGUUGCAGAAGUCGUUCUCGGAGUUUUUCUGUGAUCCAACGAUUUUUGACUCUGAACUCCUAGUUUUUCGUGACUUAGAGCAAGUUCUAAAAUGCACAAAUUCAUCUUUUAUGAGUCUUUGUUCAGCUAAGUCGCACAAAUGUUGAUCUUUUGGGAUAAACUUCAAAACGUCUUGAGUAAUGUUAUUACCUGCUCAAAAGCCUUCAAGAAUGAGAGAUUUCAGGUGAAUUAACUCUCUUUCUUUGUUUAUAUCUCAACUCAACACUAGACUGUGCGUUACAUUUGUGCAUGCACUGUAUCUGACGGCAAAAACUAUAAUUUUGCUUGUUUUUGAGCAAGAAGAGUUUUUUGUUUUCGUUUCAAUGUCUGUACCCUCAAAAUCUCCAAUGCUUGGGUGUGAUGAUCCAAAGUUUUACACUACGAACGGUAUUCGUGAAAUGAUCAGGCUCAGUAGUAUUUUGUUUUAUUUUUUCCGUUCGAAAGAGGAAGAACUGGAAAACUUCGGUUUCAUGCAUGUGAGUAAAUAUCCACACAUUCAAAUAUUUUAACUACAUUUUCCACUAUUAAACCUUACUAAUAAUAGCUGAUUCCUAAUCUAAACAAAAAAUCCUUGUUAAAAAAGAGACAAAGUUUCAUAAAGAAUGAACCUAGGAAAAAAUUCCUGACGCAUGUGAUUUAGCAUCUAAAUUUUUAACUUCCUUUUUAAAAUGAUAACUGCAUCAUUAUUUUAUUGAAUUUAUACGAAACCUGUGUAAAUUAUGGAUUAAUUUCUGGAAAGUAGAUGAAACUAUGAACUGAUGUGCACCUAAUUUGAAGCUAUUGUUUAGGUACCACAGAAAAGUAGGGAAACUCCAAAAUUAGUAGUUGCUUAUUACUAGCAGACCUUUGCGAGGGGUAAAUGGGCCCUUGAUCCCAUACAAUAAUUGGACGUAUUUCUGUCAAACAGAACUAUGUGCAUUAUAACGUGAGCCCUGUUAUGCACAUAUUCCUAUGGGCCCCCGGGCUCAUGUCUCAAUGCACAUAGUUCCGUUUGGCAGAAACACGUCCAAUUGAAGCGUUGGGUGCAGGAAGAAUACUUCUUGAUUGUGGUGUUUCAAAAUCUCUAUUAGCGUUUAAUUCCUUAUCAUCGAAGCAAAUGUUUAGAAAUCGUUAAAACUUUAACUAAUUUUCUUUAUGAUUAUGCAAUGCUGAAAACGAAAAAUUUAAGAAAAUUCACCCAAUAGUUUCCCUUUGAAAAUAUAAAUCAGCAGCGGAGAUUCAAAAACACUGCAACCAAAAAAUCGGCGGUGUAGGUCGGCAAUCACAUAACGCGGUUUGCGACGUCGCAGACUUCCUAUCGGACUUUAUUUUCAAACGGAAAACUACUCAACGGCAAUUCUUUAAAACUGUCGUGAUUUUUCUUCUCUAUGCGAAGAAAAUUCUGCAAAAACUUCAAGAAAUGAUGUCAAUUAGUUCUCCCUUAAAAAAAUAACAUAGAGGCGGAGAUUUUCAGACACCGCAAACGAGAUAUGUGAUCGCGGACUUACGCCGUCCAAAUGUCCUUUUUGCACCCAAUUCGACAGCUACCUGUAGCAUAUGUUCUCCAUCUCCUUCCCCUAAAUUAUUGUGUCAUAUCUCUUAAACUCGGUGCAUCCUAGCUGCAGGUACCGAGCUAAACUCGGAUACCACCCUUGAGGAUGAGGAUUUUCUCCAUCUGUUUGCGGAUCUAUCUGAGUCCCGUUGUCGCUACAUGAUCGAAACUCUUCGCAUUACUCCCGACGAUUGACCAUAGCUCAAACUCAAACAAAGGAAAUCGAAUAGACC
RNAcentral lists this long non-coding RNA (2859 nucleotides) under Bemisia tabaci. RNAcentral's name for it is "lncRNA ENSSWEETPG013409". The record is from RNAcentral. Lineage: Eukaryota; Metazoa; Arthropoda; Insecta; Hemiptera; Aleyrodidae.